This 986-nucleotide long non-coding RNA is filed under the name Marmota monax (woodchuck). The record is from RNAcentral. Lineage: Eukaryota; Metazoa; Chordata; Mammalia; Rodentia; Sciuridae.
AGGCAACGCAGGUCCCUGAGCCAGUUCCACCCCAGCCCCGGAGGGAUUCUCAGGUCCCCUCCCCACAGCUCGCAGAAUUCCCUCUGUUUUCCCCUUGUGCUUUCUGGAGGAUUUUAUCCCUAGCUCUAGAACUGCCUUCCGCUAACUCUCUAGGUUUGCUUUGGGAGAUAACUUGUUUUGCUCCAAUCCGCAUUCCCUUUCCUUGACCAUCAUCAAUCGGAUGUUCUAGAUGACUGGAGUUUUGAGUUGGACUUUUGUGUCCCCGCCGUAAUGGGGCUUGAUCCUAGAGCACUGGGGGUCGGGUGGAGGUGUUACUGUAAAAUGCAAGUUGGAUAAAAGGAGGACCUCUCGCUAAGGGUCCCGAUGAGUGGCACACAGUCGACUAUCACGGACAGAUUUCCCCUCAAAAAACCUAUAAGGCACGGAAGUAUUUUGAACAGAGAGUCACCAACAGAUAAGAAGCAGAAAGUUGAAGGCGGUGCAUCACAGGUCUUGUUCAGCGUUGUGUAAUCAUCCAGAAAGGUGACAGUAGAUUUGGGCUGACAGUCAGUGGAGACAAUCAUUCAGUCUGUGAAAGAAGAUGGAGCAGCCAUGCGGCCUGGAGUACAGACAGGUGAUCGAAUCAUCAAGGUGAAUGGAACUCUGGUGACUCAUUCGAACCAUUUGGAGGUGGUGAAACUAAUCAAAUCUGGUUCUUAUGUAGCUCUCACUGUUCAGGGAUGCCCUCCUGGGUCGCCCCAGAUUCCACUUGCUGAAUCUGAAGUAGAACCAUCAGUCAUUGGACAUAAGACUCCCAUCAUGACAUCCCCUCACUCACCUGGAGCAUCUGGGACUAUGGAGCAAAUCACUAUUCCUAUGCUCAUGGGGGAAGAAAGUAAUGUGGUUCAUAACCAGAAAAAUGUUGCAGAAAGAACAGGAACGGCUACAGUUAUUGCAGGAAGAUUACAGCCGAACACCUGCCCAAAGAUUGCUAAAAGAGAUACAAG